This 595-nucleotide ribosomal RNA is filed under the name uncultured bacterium. Its description in RNAcentral is "bacterial SSU rRNA". It matches the Rfam family "Bacterial small subunit ribosomal RNA", at positions 249 to 844 of the family's 1533-position model. The record is from RNAcentral.
UUGGUAAGGUAACGGCUUACCAAGACAACGAUCAUUAGGGGUUCUGAGAGGAAGGUCCCCCACACUGGUACUGAGACACGGACCAGACUCCUACGGGAGGCAGCAGUGAGGAAUAUUGGUCAAUGAGCGAGAGCUUGAACCAGCCACGUCGCGUGCAGGAAGAAUGUCUUAUGGAUUGUAAACUGCUUUUUCGGUAGAGUAACGUGCGUCACGUGUGGCGUAUUGCAAGUAUACCGAGAAUAAGGAUCGGCUAACUCCGUGCCAGCAGCCGCGGUAAUACGGAGGAUCCGAGCGUUAUCCGGAUUUAUUGGGUUUAAAGGGUACGUAGGCGGGAUGAUAAGUCAGCGGUGAAAUUUUGCAGCUUAACUGUAAGCUUGCCGUUGAAACUAUUAUUCUUGAGUGUAGAUAAGGUAGGCGGAAUGUGUUGUGUAGCGGUGAAAUGCUUAGAUAUAACACAGAACACCAAUUGCGAAGGCAGCUUACCGGGUUACCGCUGACGCUGAGGUACGACAGCGUGGGGAUCAAACAGGAUUAGAUACCCUGGUAGUCCACGCCGUAAACGAUGAAUACUCGCUGUUUGCGAUAUACAGCAAGC